RNAcentral lists this long non-coding RNA (1074 nucleotides) under Sus scrofa (pig). RNAcentral's name for it is "lncRNA (ENSSSCG00050013937.1)". Lineage: Eukaryota; Metazoa; Chordata; Mammalia; Artiodactyla; Suidae. The record is from RNAcentral.
CGAGGGUGCCCCGCGAGGGUGCGACAGCGCUUUGCGGCAGAAAAUGCUAUAAAUGAAAUGCUAUAAAUGCCGCCUUGUCUCCACCCGCGUCUCCCUUCCGGCCGCCCGGGCCCAGGGCGCGGCCGCGGCCCCGAGUCCCGGAGCCCCACCUGGGGACUGUCCUUGCCGCCCUUCGAACGUUCUGCCCCCCGACCCUGCCCGGCAGGUCUUCCCUGAAGACCUGUUCACGGGAAAGGGCGUUGGAGGGCUUGACCUUGGAGGGACCGAAAGAGAAACGUCCUUGGGUGGAAGGAAGAAUUCCCCCCCACCCGGGGGGGCUGCUGGGGGCCGCGAUGCCCCAUGAAGGCGAGGGUGGGGGUGGGGCGCGGCUCCCUUUGUGCUGAGCAGGGACCACCAGGCCCUGAGUCUGGGGGUUUUCCUGCCGGCUGGGGCUUAGCCCCACCUCCGCCUGUCCCUCUGCAGGGACUUCUGCGCAAGGCCAGGGCCUGGGGGCCCCUGCUGGUGGUGGGAACACCCCCUCUUGCCAGUUGGGUGUGCCCUGCUUGGACCCUGGGAAAAGUGGGCCCGAAGUUGCAACCUGGGAUUGAGGUGGGAAAGAGGAAAUACUGGGCAGGUCAGCCAGGUAACGGCUCGGCAGGAGACCACAGGGAUGGGUUCCCCCUUCCUUGUGCUCUUCCUAGAUGACAUUUCACCCGACCCCGAGCGAUAGUUCCGGGAGUAAUCCCGACGCAGCGUGGUGUGACCCUCGCAGGUCUCUCACUGCCCCGGGCUACUGUCCUCACGGUGAAAGGCAGUCAGGCGCACCUACUUCCCAGGGUCUCGGCGAGUCUCCAAGGAGCGCUUCCUGCAGCUUCCGGGGCUUGGCUGCGCUCGGGCACACAGCAAGCGCUUAAUAAGCGGUGGCUGCGAGGGGAUCGGCGGGAACUGCCCGGUAGGUCUUCACACCUUUUUGAGAAGCGGCCGCGGGGCUGGGGGGUGGCGGGGCGGCGGCCCCGUCUCAAGCGGCCCGGACGCUAGAGGCCCGAGGGCCCAGGCGCGAGGCUGGGAGCCGCGCGGCGCCUUUAAGAGCCGAAC